GACGAACGCUGGCGGCGUGCUUAACACAUGCAAGUCGUACGGUAAGGCCCUUUCGGGGGUACACGAGUGGCGAACGGGUGAGUAACACGUGAGUAACCUGCCCACAACUUUGGGAUAACGCUAGGAAACUGGUGCUAAUACUGGAUAUGUGCUCCUGCUGCAUGGUGGGGGUUGGAAAGCUCCGGCGGUUGUGGAUGGACUCGCGGCCUAUCAGCUUGUUGGUGGGGUAGUGGCCUACCAAGGCGGCGACGGGUAGCCGGCCUGAGAGGGUGACCGGCCACAUUGGGACUGAGAUACGGCCCAGACUCCUACAGGAGGCAGCAGUGGGGAAUAUUGCACAAUGGGCGCAAGCCUGAUGCAGCAACGCCGCGUGCGGGAUGACGGCCUUCGGGUUGUAAACCGCUUUCAGCAGGGACGAAGCUUUUUGUGACGGUACCUGCAGAAGAAGCACCGGCUAACUACGUG
This 465-nucleotide ribosomal RNA is filed under the name uncultured bacterium. RNAcentral describes it as "partial 16S ribosomal RNA". It matches the Rfam family "Bacterial small subunit ribosomal RNA", at positions 28 to 507 of the family's 1533-position model. The record is from RNAcentral.